Molecule: ribosomal RNA, 253 nt
Filed under: uncultured bacterium
Lineage: Bacteria
Description: partial 16S ribosomal RNA
Rfam family: Bacterial small subunit ribosomal RNA
Source: RNAcentral
UACGGGGGGGGCAAGCGUUGUUCGGAAUUACUGGGCGUAAAGGGCUCGUAGGCGGCCAACUAAGUCGGAUGUGAAAUCCCCAGGCUUAACCUGGGAACUGCAUCCGAUACUGGAUGGCUUGAAUCCGGGAGAGGGAUGCGGAAUUCCAGGUGUAGCGGUGAAAUGCGUAGAUAUCUGGAGGAACACCGGUGGCGAAGGCGGCAUCCUGGACCGACACUGACGCUGAGGAGCGAAAGCCAGGGGAGCGAACGGG